This 281-nucleotide small RNA is filed under the name Histoplasma capsulatum var. duboisii H88. Its description in RNAcentral is "Histoplasma capsulatum H88 hypothetical RNA". Lineage: Eukaryota; Fungi; Ascomycota; Eurotiomycetes; Onygenales; Ajellomycetaceae. The record is from RNAcentral.
UACCUGUGGGGGCUUACAUGAUGCUUACUGAAAUCCACUCAAUGCUCACUACUCCUUCAAACGUUCUGUCCCUGGCGCGCAGCGAGAUGGCUUGAUGUCAGGAUCGCAGCUUUUCUCAGAGCCAUGUCGCUUGAGCCGUACAUUCUGGCUGCUGGUAUACCAUCUUGGAGGGGGUUCAUAGGCACAUAGGGAAAAGAAGUCAGCCUUCGGAAACAAAAUAAGGUCUCAAGGAAUCUUCAAAAAUGAAAUUAGGGAAGUAUAAAAGCUUCAAAUAACUCAGC